This 234-nucleotide ribosomal RNA is filed under the name uncultured bacterium. RNAcentral describes it as "partial 16S ribosomal RNA". It matches the Rfam family "Bacterial small subunit ribosomal RNA", at positions 100 to 334 of the family's 1533-position model. The record is from RNAcentral.
CGGGACGGGUGAGUAAUGUCUGGGAAACGUGCCCGGUGGAGGGGGAUAACUACUGGAAACGGUAGCUAAUACCGCAUAACGUCGCAAGACCAAAGAGGGGGACCUUCGGGCCUCUUGCCAUCGGAUGUGCCCAGAUGGGAUUAGCUAGUAGGUGGGGUAACGGCUCACCUAGGCGACGAUCCCUAGCUGGUCUGAGAGGAUGACCAGCCACACUGGAACUGAGACACGGUCCAG